This 465-nucleotide ribosomal RNA is filed under the name Vreelandella stevensii. RNAcentral describes it as "partial 16S ribosomal RNA". It matches the Rfam family "Bacterial small subunit ribosomal RNA", at positions 338 to 795 of the family's 1533-position model. Lineage: Bacteria; Pseudomonadati; Pseudomonadota; Gammaproteobacteria; Oceanospirillales; Halomonadaceae. The record is from RNAcentral.
CCUACGGGGGGCAGCAGUGGGGAAUAUUGGACAAUGGGGGGAACCCUGAUCCAGCCAUGCCGCGUGUGUGAAGAAGGCCCUCGGGUUGUAAAGCACUUUCAGUGAGGAAGAACGCCUGGUGGUUAAUACCCAUCAGGAAAGACAUCACUCACAGAAGAAGCACCGGCUAACUCCGUGCCAGCAGCCGCGGUAAUACGGAGGGUGCGAGCGUUAAUCGGAAUUACUGGGCGUAAAGCGCGCGUAGGUGGCUUGAUAAGCCGGUUGUGAAAGCCCCGGGCUCAACCUGGGAACGGCAUCCGGAACUGUCAAGCUAGAGUGCAGGAGAGGAAGGUAGAAUUCCCGGUGUAGCGGUGAAAUGCGUAGAGAUCGGGAGGAAUACCAGUGGCGAAGGCGGCCUUCUGGACUGACACUGACACUGAGGUGCGAAAGCGUGGGUAGCAAACAGGAUUAGAUACCCGUGUAGUC